GAUGAACGCUAGCGGGAGGCCUAACACAUGCAAGCCGAGCGGUAUUUGUUCUUCGGAACAGAGAGAGCGGCGCACGGGUGCGGAACACGUGUGCAACCUGCCUUUAUCUGGGGGAUAGUCUUUCGAAAGGAAGAUUAAUACCCCAUAAUAUAUUGAGUGGCAUCAUUUGAUAUUGAAAACUCCGGUGGAUAGAGAUGGGCACGCGCAAGAUUAGAUAGUUGGUGAGGUAACGGCUCACCAAGUCAAUGAUCUUUAGGGGGCCUGAGAGGGUGAUCCCCCACACUGGUACUGAGACACGGACCAGACUCCUACGGGAGGCAGCAGUGAGGAAUAUUGGACAAUGGGUUAGCGCCUGAUCCAGCCAUCCCGCGUGAAGGACGACGGCCCUAUGGGUUGUAAACUUCUUUUGUAUAGGGAUAAACCUACUCUCGUGAGAGUAGCUGAAGGUACUAUACGAAUAAGCACCGGCUAACUCCGUG
This 479-nucleotide ribosomal RNA is filed under the name uncultured bacterium. RNAcentral describes it as "partial 16S ribosomal RNA". It matches the Rfam family "Bacterial small subunit ribosomal RNA", at positions 28 to 507 of the family's 1533-position model. The record is from RNAcentral.